Molecule: ribosomal RNA, 483 nt
Filed under: uncultured bacterium
Lineage: Bacteria
Description: partial 16S ribosomal RNA
Rfam family: Bacterial small subunit ribosomal RNA
Source: RNAcentral
GACGAACGCUGGCGGCGUGCUUAACACAUGCAAGUCGAACGAUGAUGCUGGAGCUGGCUCCAGUUGAUUAGUGGCGAACGGGUGAGUAACACGUGAGCAAUCUGACCUUGACUCGGGGAUAACUGCGGGAAACUGUAGCUAAUACCGGAUACUUUCAUCGGCAGCCUCGCCAGGGGGAGGAAAGAAUUUCGGUCAGGGAUGGGCUCGCGGCCUAUCAGCUAGUUGCUGAGGUAACGGCUCACCAAGGCGACGACGGGUAGCCGGCCUGAGAGGGUGACCGGCCACACUGGGACUGAGACACGGCCCAGACUCCUACGGGAGGCAGCAGUGGGGAAUAUUGCACAAUGGGCGCAAGCCUGAUGCAGCAACGCCGCGUGAGGGAUGAAGGCCUUCGGGUUGUAAACCUCUUUUAGCAGGGAAGAAAUUCGUUGACAUUAGCGCAUGAAUAAGGGGCUCCAAACUCUGUGCCAGCCGCCGCCGUAA